This 505-nucleotide ribosomal RNA is filed under the name uncultured bacterium. Its description in RNAcentral is "bacterial SSU rRNA". It matches the Rfam family "Bacterial small subunit ribosomal RNA", at positions 28 to 514 of the family's 1533-position model. The record is from RNAcentral.
GAUGAACGCUGGCGGCGUGCCUAAUACAUGCAAGUCGAACGCACAGCGAAAGGUGCUUGCACCUUUCAAGUGAGUGGCGAACGGGUGAGUAACACGUGGAUAACCUACCUCAAGGUUGGGGAUAACAUUUGGAAACAGAUGCUAAUACCGAAUAAAACUUCGUAUCGCAUGAUACAAGGUUAAAAGGCGCUACGGCGUCACCUAGAGAUGGAUCCGCGGUGCAUUAGUUAGUUGGCGGGGUAAAGGCCGUACCAAGACAAUGAUGCAUAGCCGAGUUGAGAGACUGAUCGGCCACAUUGGGACUGAGACACGGCCCAAACUCCUACGGGAGGCUGCAGUAGGGAAUCUUCCACAAUGGGCGAAAGCCUGAUGGAGCAACGCCGCGUGUGUGAUGAAGGCUUUCGGGUCGUAAAGCACUGUUGUAUGGGAAGAACAGCUAGAGUAGGGAAUGACUUUAGUUUGACGUACCGAUACCUGAAAGGGACGGCUAAAUACGUGCCAGCAG